CAGAGCUAAGAAGUGCUGUCAUAAUCAUUACACUUGGUGAGAUAUAAGGUGCUGUCAUAAUCAUUAUACUUGGCAGAGAAUUUCCAUAUUUUGUGGGCCUGGAGGGACAGUUGAAUCACAAGGCAUUAACCUUACUUGCCAGGGACUCAUUUCUCCUCUUCAGGACUCUUAGGGAAAACAGAUGCAGAGACAAUCCACGUACACAUUUGGGUUCACACAGCACAGAGCAGAAUGCUGGUUCCCAAGGCUCUGUUCCCUGGAGAGGUCUGGGCUGGGCUGGGGCCUGAAUUCUGCUUUUCUGCAAAGCUUUCAAGAAAUGCCAGUAUUGCUGGUCCCGAAACCAGCACUUUGAGUAAUGAAACCCUAACGUUCCACCAAAUCCCUUUAGCUAUGAAGCUCGAGGUGUGCCCUUGAGUUUCUGGAGCGCACAAGCCCUAUGUGGAUUGUGAUGGGAGGGGGGAGGGGGACAAGGCCCUGUCCCUGUCCCUGUGGGGGCUCUAGGUCUCCAGGUGGUUGACUGACCACCGCCAUGGAUACAGACACAGCUCCCACCCCGCCUCCUCUCUGCCAGCCACGGCAGGUGCCAGCCUCAUCUCUCACCUGGUAACUCAGGAGAGGAAAGUGAGAUUCAAGAUGGCCCAACACACACACACACGCGCACACACACACACACACACACAAAUACACGAACCACACACACACCACAUACAACACAACACACACAAAGCACACACACAGCACACACAACACACACACAACUUUCUCUGAGGCUCCCAGGCUCCCACUGAGAGGGAGAGGUGGUGACUGCUCAGGAGGUGGGGACAUUCCUACCAAGGGUCCUGUUGUUUUCUCAAAUCUAUCCCCAUCUCUCUACCCUUGCUCUGUCUGAUAGCCAGAGAGGCCACUCAUCUUUUUUUUUUCUUUUGAGGCAGGUCUCACUUUGCCACCCAGGCUAGAAUGCAGUGGCUGGAUCACAGUCAGCCUCGAUCUUCCAGGCUCAAGUGAUCCUCCUGCCUCAGCCUCCCAAGUAGCUGAGACUACAGGCAGGUGCCUGGCUAAUUUUUAAAUUUUUUUUUUUGGUAGAGGCAGGGUCUCCCUAUAUUGCCCAAGCUGGUGUCAAACUCCUGGGUUCAAGUAAUCCUCCCACCUCGGCCUCCCAAGGUGCAGGGAUUACAGAUGUGAGUCACGGAGCCUGGCCUAGGCCUCCUAAUCUCAAACCUGCUUCCCUCCUUCGUUGCUCUGUGAGCCACCCCCAACACUGCUGCCAUCUCAUGGAACAAAAC
RNAcentral lists this long non-coding RNA (1283 nucleotides) under Callithrix jacchus (white-tufted-ear marmoset). RNAcentral describes it as "lncRNA (ENSCJAG00000080340.1)". The record is from RNAcentral. Lineage: Eukaryota; Metazoa; Chordata; Mammalia; Primates; Cebidae.